UACGAAGGGGGCUAGCGUUGUUCGGAAUUACUGGGCGUAAAGGGCGGGUAGGCGGCCACCGCAAGUCAGUUGUGAAAUCUCCGGGCUUAACCCGGAAAGGUCAACUGAUACUGCGGGGCUAGAGUGCAGAAGGGGCAACUGGAAUUCUCGGUGUAGCGGUGAAAUGCGUAGAUAUCGAGAGGAACACCUGCGGCGAAGGCGGGUUGCUGGGCUGACACUGACGCUGAACUGCGAAAGCUAGGGGAGCGAACGGG
This 254-nucleotide ribosomal RNA is filed under the name uncultured bacterium. Its description in RNAcentral is "partial 16S ribosomal RNA". It matches the Rfam family "Bacterial small subunit ribosomal RNA", at positions 524 to 776 of the family's 1533-position model. The record is from RNAcentral.